RNAcentral lists this ribosomal RNA (484 nucleotides) under uncultured bacterium. RNAcentral describes it as "partial 16S ribosomal RNA". It matches the Rfam family "Bacterial small subunit ribosomal RNA", at positions 30 to 507 of the family's 1533-position model. The record is from RNAcentral.
AUUGAACGCUGGCGGCAGGCCUAACACAUGCAAGUCGAGCGGAUGAAGGGAGCUUGCUCCUGGAUUCAGCGGCGGACGGGUGAGUAAUGCCUAAGUAUCUGCCUGUUAGUGGGGGAUAACGUCCGGAAACGGGCGCUAAUACCGCAUACGUACUGCGGGCGAAAGUGGGGGGUCUUCGGACCUCACGCUAUCAGAUGAGCCUAGGUCGGGUUAGCUAGUUGGUGGGGUAAAGGCCUACCAAGGCGACGAUCCGUAACUGGUCUGAGAGGAGGAUCAGUCACACUGGAACUGAGACACGGCCCAGACUCCUACGGGAGGCAGAGGUGGGGAAUAGUGGACGAUGGGCGAAAGCCUGAUCCAGCCGUGCCGCGUGGGUGAAGAAGGUCUUCGGAUUGUAAAGCACUUUAAGUUGGGAGGAAGUGCAGUAAGUUAAUACCUUGCUGUUUUGACGUUACCAACAGAAGAAGCGCCGGCUAACUUCGUG